This 305-nucleotide ribosomal RNA is filed under the name uncultured bacterium. RNAcentral describes it as "bacterial SSU rRNA". It matches the Rfam family "Bacterial small subunit ribosomal RNA", at positions 334 to 656 of the family's 1533-position model. The record is from RNAcentral.
CUGCCCUACGGGACGCAGCAGUGGGGGAUAUUGCACAAUGGGGGAAACCCUGAUGCAGCGACGCCGCGUGAGUUAAGAAGUAUUUCGGUAUGUAAAGCUCUAUCAGCAGGGACGAAAAUGACGGUACCUGAGUAAGAAGCCCCGGCUAACUACGUGCCAGCAGCCGCGGUAAUACGUAGGGGGCAAGCGUUAUCCGGAUUUACUGGGUGUAAAGGGAGCGUAGACGGCAGCACAAGUCUGGAGUGAAUUGCCGGGGCUUAACCCCGGAACUGCUUUGGAAACUGUGCAGCUAGAGUGCAGGAGAG